This 459-nucleotide ribosomal RNA is filed under the name uncultured bacterium. RNAcentral's name for it is "partial 16S ribosomal RNA". It matches the Rfam family "Bacterial small subunit ribosomal RNA", at positions 338 to 795 of the family's 1533-position model. The record is from RNAcentral.
CCUACGAGCGGCUGCAGUGAGGAAUAUUGGUCAAUGGCCGGAAGGCUGAACCAGCCAAGCCGCGUGAGGGAGGAAGGCGCAGAGCGUCGCAGACCUCUUUUGCCGGGGGACAAAAGGCCGGACUCGUCCGGUCCUGAGGUUACCCGGAGAAAAAGCAUCGGCUAACUCCGUGCCAGCAGCCGCGGUACUACGGGGGAUGCGAGCGUUAUCCGGAUUCAGUGGGUUUAAAGGGUGCGCAGGGGGGCCUUUAAGCCGGCGGUGAAAUCGCGGGGCUCAACCCCGCCGAGCCGUCGGAACUGGGGGCGUUGAGUGCGGCGGAGGAAUGCGGAAUGCGCGGUGUAGCGGUGAAAUGCAUAGAUAUCGCGCAGAACCCCGAUUGCGAAGGCAGCGUGCCGUGCCGCCACUGACGCUGAGGCACGAAAGCGCGGGGAGCGAACAGGAUUAGAUACCCGUGUAGUC